This 28-nucleotide non-coding RNA is filed under the name Homo sapiens (human). The record is from RNAcentral. Lineage: Eukaryota; Metazoa; Chordata; Mammalia; Primates; Hominidae.
UAAAGGGCAUAAACUGACAUUCUAAGGU